UAAGGGCUCACCAAGGCGACGAUCCCUAGCUGGUCUGAGAGGAUGAUCAGCCACACUGGAACUGAGACACGGUCCAGACUCCUACGGGAGGCAGCAGUGGGGAAUAUUGCACAAUGGGCGCAAGCCUGAUGCAGCCAUGCCGCGUGUAUGAAGAAGGCCUUCGGGUUGUAAAGUACUUUCAGCAGUGAGGAAGGUGGUAGUGUUAAUAGCACUAUCAUUUGACGUUAGCUGCAGAAGAAGCACCGGCUAACUCCGUGCCAGCAGCCGCGGUAAUACGGAGGGUGCGAGCGUUAAUCGGAAUUACUGGGCGUAAAGCGCAUGCAGGUGGUUUGUUAAGUCAGAUGUGAAAGCCCGGGGCUCAACCUCGGAAUUGCAUUUGAAACUGGCAGACUAGAGUACUGUAGAGGGGGGUAGAAUUUCAGGUGU
RNAcentral lists this ribosomal RNA (426 nucleotides) under Vibrio tubiashii. Its description in RNAcentral is "bacterial SSU rRNA". It matches the Rfam family "Bacterial small subunit ribosomal RNA", at positions 258 to 676 of the family's 1533-position model. Lineage: Bacteria; Pseudomonadati; Pseudomonadota; Gammaproteobacteria; Vibrionales; Vibrionaceae. The record is from RNAcentral.